AAGACAUCUCCAUGACGAGGA
Molecule: transfer RNA, 21 nt
Filed under: Chusquea sp. Ferreira 2065
Lineage: Eukaryota; Viridiplantae; Streptophyta; Magnoliopsida; Poales; Poaceae
Description: partial tRNA-Gly
Source: RNAcentral